RNAcentral lists this ribosomal RNA (503 nucleotides) under uncultured bacterium. RNAcentral describes it as "partial 16S ribosomal RNA". It matches the Rfam family "Bacterial small subunit ribosomal RNA", at positions 30 to 523 of the family's 1533-position model. The record is from RNAcentral.
AUUGAACGCUGGCGGCAGGCUUAACACAUGCAAGUCGAGCGGGGUGAUGGUGCUUGCACUAUCACUUAGCGGCGGACGGGUGAGUAAUGCUUAGGAAUCUGCCUAUUAGUGGGGGACAACAUCUCGAAAGGGAUGCUAAUACCGCAUACGUCCUACGGGAGAAAGCAGGGGAUCACUUGUGACCUUGCGCUAAUAGAUGAGCCUAAGUCGGAUUAGCCAGUUGGCGGGGUAAAGGCCUACCAAGGCGACGAUCUGUAGCGGGUCUGAGAGGAUGAUCCGCCACACUGGGACUGAGACACGGCCCAGACUCCUACGGGAGGCAGCAGUGGGGAAUAUUGGACAAUGGGGGGAACCCUGAUCCAGCCAUGCCGCGUGUGUGAAGAAGGCCUUAUGGUUGUAAAGCACUUUAAGCGAGGAGGAGGCUCUUUUGGUUAAUACCCAAGAUGAGUGGACGUUACUCGCAGAAUAAGCACCGGCUAACUCUGUGCCAGCAGCCGCCGUAA